AUCAUCUCCAAACUGCACUUGAUACCGUCGAUCUGUCGUUGUGUAAUGUCGAGUUAUCUAAUGUUAUUUUUCCCGUCUUGUCGACAAAAAGGACGAAGAACGAUUUAUAAAUUGACGGCUCAUAGAAGUCGACAAUAACAAGUGAAAUAUGAACAACAACAGCGAGCUUAUCAACCAGUACAAAGAAAGGGUGUUUUCCUGCUUUCGGUGGAUAUAUGGAAUGCAUGUCUCGCACUUUAUUGACUGGGCUGUCAGGUUUUAGUUUAGCAUUUGGUGGAACUUACAUAACCCAGCAUUUGUUAAUGAAGUACCUUCCAUAUGGUCGAAAACAUCACAUUAUAUGUUCAAGUUUAGUAGCUUGUGCUGUUGCUUACAAAGUGACAUCUUUGAGAGCUAAGUCUUGC
This is a long non-coding RNA of Macrobrachium nipponense, 404 nucleotides long. RefSeq lists it as uncharacterized. The record is from RefSeq and is a predicted model, not a curated record. Lineage: Eukaryota; Metazoa; Arthropoda; Malacostraca; Decapoda; Palaemonidae. The transcript has 3 exons.